CGGAUGUCCGGUCUUUGUGCGUCUGGGAGCAGAAGUUUCCCAGAUUCACCGAGUUAAACAUCUUUCCCCCGUACUCGGUACUAUAGAUAGAUGUUUUGGAUUCGAACUGCAGAAGGGGGAAAUUUAGGAAGGCAAGAUGACGCGCAAUCCGUCUAAGUCGCCAAAGACACGUGAUCGAAAGUAGAUAUUGUCAUAUAUCAAUUUGGAACACUUGGAUGUGUAGUAGUUCACUUAGGUAAGAUCUAGGAGGUUCAAACGAUUAAUUUAAACACCACAGGAGCACUAAGAAAACCAGUAACAUAAUCCUGUUUGUUGGCUUAGGUUAUGGCAAUUAUAAAGAUAAGCUUGAGUAUGAGGCUAUUUAUGUAUGAGAGUGGGCUAGGGUAGCAUAGUUUAGCAUGUGAUAUAGCAGACUAAAUUUGAUUUUGAAUUCUACAGAGCUGGAGGAGAAUAGCCGAGGCACUCAAGACCAAGGUUCCAGGCUGAACGUGGUGGAGAGAAGAGCACAAGUGAAAUUUAACCUUGGUCGACGACGGCUGUCUUAACAGCUGUAAUCCACCAACCGCGGAGUGUAAAAUAUAAAAUAAUCUUAACUUUGAAUUGCAGAAAUGAACAGUGUUUUAGAAAAUGAUAGUCUACUCGAGAGGUGACCUAGCUAUAUUUAAGCUAAAAGUCUAAAGGAGACCAUUUCUUUUGUUUUGAAUUAGGCUUGAGGACAUAUUUCUGCUUAGGCCCCACAGUCUCACUGGGCAACACAUGAAUCGAUUUGUCAUGGAAUACUUUCACUCUGACAGCUGUUGAGAAGUCAGAAAUCCUUUACUGUAUGUAUGUCUUUAGGGCUACAUCGUGUAACUACUGUACAUAGAUGCCUGAUUAAAUAUGCAUUGUUUUCCGGAGAGAAAACAAAUCUCG
Long non-coding RNA from Oncorhynchus gorbuscha (pink salmon), 912 nucleotides. RefSeq lists it as uncharacterized. NCBI's taxonomy places the organism in Eukaryota, Metazoa, Chordata, Actinopteri, Salmoniformes, Salmonidae. The transcript has 2 exons. The record is from RefSeq and is a predicted model, not a curated record.